GAAACCAAAAUAUGCAAGAAAAGCCAAAAUUGAGCAAUAACGACAUUUCACAUGCAAACACGACAACUGUAAUAAAACGUUAUUAAAUCCAAGUAAAAAUACACCAAAACUAUGAAAAACUAACUAGAAACUCCUAAAACACAGUGACAUAAAUGACACUUAUCACACCGCCACCCCUUUACCACCGACUUCCUUUAACCGUCGUUAAUUCGAACCAAGGACAACCAUCGUCGCUGCCGCUUUCUAUUUUUUAAAUUUACAACAAUGGAAGUCAGGGUUUCUGGUUGUAUUUAUUUUGAAUCAAUUCAAUGUGCGUGUGUUUUCAAGCCUUUUCGAUCCUCUAAUUUGAUUUCGGGAAAACAAGAAAAUGACGAGAAGAACAAUACAUAAAUGGUCAAUGAGGCUUCUUUGUGCUAUUGGAAGUGCAGUUGGUUUCUACAUGGUUGUUGUGUUAAGGCAAACGCAAAAUAGAGAUAAGAUGAUGGCUGAAUUGGGCAACAUUAAAUCGACUGACAGUGGCAUGGAAUAGGAUUCAGUUGAGGGAACAGGUUUAAGUGGGUUUUGUAUAAUUUUUUAUAAGAAUAUUGAUUGUAAUAUUUGUGAGUAACUCAGUAUGUUUUCGGUACAGAUUUUGUAUGUUGCAAGUAUACACCUUGUAUUUUUUGUUUAAUUGAUACUUCGUAUUAUAUAUAUUAAAUUAUGAAUA
Chenopodium quinoa (quinoa) is the source of this 706-nucleotide long non-coding RNA. RefSeq lists it as uncharacterized. The transcript is spliced from 3 exons. Lineage: Eukaryota; Viridiplantae; Streptophyta; Magnoliopsida; Caryophyllales; Amaranthaceae. The record is from RefSeq and is a predicted model, not a curated record.